GGCGGGCAAGACGUGAUGCGCAUGCGCGGCGCAUGACGUUGGCGCUUAUGAUGCUAGCCGCCUAGCCCGGCAGUGUUCAGGGCGGGACGUUGUUGGAGGCUGCGUUUUAGGAACGUGCGUAAACGGCUUCUCCUGCAUUGGUUUAAUGCCCCCGCAGCCGGCUCCUGGUAGCGUUGGCGAUUGGCCGCGGCAGGCGCCUGCCCCAAAGCUCAGGGAGGUGGCGGGGAAGCCUCCUGCUGACGCCAGAGGGCCCGUCAGCCGGUCCUGUGUCCCCACAGACUGGGCCCCUGAGCAGCCCCAUUCCCCGCAGUGGCGAUCCUGCCAGGCUGCCCCACGCCUGCGGGGUGUGAUCAGGUUCACCUCCGCUCUCCUUUCUGCAACGCCCAGGGGCUCGGCACUGGGGCAGGGGAGCCUCACAUCCCCGAUCCCUCAAGUGACCUCUUCUGGGAAGCCGAGGAGCCCGCUGGGCAUGGGGUGGGGCAGUGCAUGCCCCUCUGCCCCAGCCGGCGCAGGCCCUAACCCCACCAGCUAUCCUGUUGUUAUUUGGGAAGCCCCAAAUCGGUUUCUGUUGUUGCCCUUGUAGUGGGUGAUGGCCCAGUAAAAUUCAAGUUCAAAAGCUUUGCUUGACUUCCAGUUUCAAAGAACAGAAAAAUAUUUGCAAAAAAAAGCAGAGAACAGACAGUUUUUUCAAUAGUCUGGGAUUCCAAAUGAUUGUGCGGGACAACUAAAGAUAUAACAGGAACGGGAGUGAGAUCACAGGGCUAAACGAAGGGAACCUGAUGGGGACACAGAGCAGAGAACCCCGGACAGCACCCACUGCUCCUUGCCGGUGUCAAAGGAGUCAGCAGACGCCGCCCAGAAGAACUCUGCCCAGAUACGUGAACAGACUGAGGAGUGGAAAUAGGCCCAGCAGUCACAGGAAACCCCGUCGGCCAACCUCCUCUCCCUAGUUUUGUAGAUGGCCAUUUUGGCCAGGGCUAGGAGGAGGUUGACCAGGGGGUCACGUCACUUUGUGUGGUUGUGGUAGGACUGUGUUUCUGACCUGCCUUCUAAGAGCUAAAAUCACUGAGAGCUGAAAUCAGCUGAGAGGGGGCAGUGUUUCUGCCCAGCCUGCAAAAGAGCUGAAAAUCACUGAGAGACUGAUGUGCAGAGGUCACAGCAGAGAUGCAGAAGGUGACUGACAGUCAGCUGGUGAAUGAGCGACCAGCAGGGCGGCAGCGGAGAGGCGUGAGGAGCGGCUACCAGGGUGGCAGAGGAGAGGCGCGACGAGCAGCCGGCUGGUGGAGGGGCAUGGUGAGAGUGGUGAGCAGGUGGCCGGUGAGCGGCCAGCAGAGUGAGUAAGAUGCCUUUUUACCCCCAACCCCCAGGGUAAGAGGUGAACUCUGCAGAUACACCUCUGAACUCUCGGUCUGCACUGACUAAGGACAGCAACUGUGAGUGGGGUGCAGAGAAGGGUCGUGCAUGUGAAAGGGACUUUUGGGUUGGAUUAAGAACUUGAGGGGAAAAGGGCACUGCCCAACCUACUUGGGGGUGGGUCUUUUACUCAUGGUAUAUGUUCAUGAACCUGUUUGCGGUGUUUUUCCCAAAUUAACUCUGAGUUACUUCCCUCCUUUUAUUAAAAGUUUAUUUUCUACA
Long non-coding RNA from Chelonia mydas (Green sea turtle), 1635 nucleotides. RefSeq lists it as uncharacterized. The transcript has 2 exons. The record is from RefSeq and is a predicted model, not a curated record. Lineage: Eukaryota; Metazoa; Chordata; Testudines; Cheloniidae.